RNAcentral lists this ribosomal RNA (1719 nucleotides) under Triticum aestivum (bread wheat). RNAcentral's name for it is "partial small subunit ribosomal RNA". The record is from RNAcentral. Lineage: Eukaryota; Viridiplantae; Streptophyta; Magnoliopsida; Poales; Poaceae.
AUGCCGCCGCCGCCGCGCACCCUCGUCGUCCUCCUCCUCGCCGUCAUCGCCGUCUCGGCCCAUGGCCGCCUGCUCGCCUCCGACGGUCUCCCGGGGCAGGGGAGCGCGUCCGACGCCACCGUGCUCCGCCUCCCGUCGGCGGGGCGGCCGGUCGGGGAGGCGGAGGAGGGCGGGUGCGAGAUGACCUACGGCUUCCUGCCCUGCACGGAGACGGCGGGGGGCAACCUCUUCCUCGCGCUCGCCUACGGCUUCCUCAUGUUCAAGUCCGCCACCUACCUCUCCUCCGGCAGCGAGCUGCUGCUCGAGAUCCUCGGCCCGGGGAUCGUCGGCGGCCUCUUCCUCCCCAUCCUCGGCGCGCUGCCGGACGCCUUGCUAAUCCUCGUUUCCGGCCUCUCUGGCACUAAGGAGGUUGCUCAAAGUCAGGUUUUGAUUGGAAUGGGCCUGCUGGCGGGAUCGACGAUCAUGCUUUUAACCAUACUUUGGGGAUCUUGUGUUAUUGUCGGUAAAUGUGAUCUGUCAGAGGAUUCAACUACAAUCGAUUCCCAGGAUACCAAAGCCUUCAGUCUUUUUGGCUCUGGUGUUUCCACUGAUUUGCAGACUAGCUAUGCAGCAAGAAUCAUGGCGAUAUCUGUUCUCCCCUUUAUCGUUGUUCAGAUACCGCAAAUUCUGAAGCUCAAAUCUGGUCAUCGCUUAACUCUACUGCUUGGGCUUAUAGUUGCAGUGCUACUUCUGCUUACUUAUUGCCUAUACCAGAUCUUUCAGCCAUGGAUCCAGAGGAGAAAAUUAGAAUAUUCAAAACUGAAGCAUGUAAUGUCUGGGCUUCUGAAACAUGCUCAAAUGCAUACUUUUGGUCACCUUAUCGAUGAUGAUGGCACACCAAAUGUUUCUGUCAUAGAGAAGUUAUUUCACAAAAUUGAUCUGGACAAUGAUGGAAGGAUAGGGCGUGGUGAACUACAAGCUUUCAUCGUUGGUGUGAAUUUUGAAGAUAUUGAGUUGGAUAGUAAUCUAGCUGCAGAUCAAGUCAUGGCUGACUUUGAUAGGUCUCGGAAUAGUUCCAUUGAAAAGGGAGAAUUCGUUGAUGGCGUCCUUAGAUGGCUGGAAGAAGCUAAGCGUGUUGUUGCUGGUUCUGGCGCCUACUCAAAAAAGUUUAUGGAUGAUUUUCACAUUACAACAGGGGAAGAACAUAAUGCACUGCUUGACAAGCAUGAAGAAGAUGAUGAAUCUAUUGAAAAUCCAACCUGGACAUGCUUCAAAGCCAUUUCACUUUUGCUUCUCGGAACUGCAAUGGCAGCUGCAUUUGCAGACCCACUCGUUGAUGCUGUGCACAACUUUUCAAGUGCUACCAGUAUACCAUCUUUCUUCAUUUCCUUCAUUGCGAUGCCCUUGGCUACUAAUUCCAGCGAGGCUGUCUCAGCCAUUAUCUUUGCCAGCCGAAAGAAGCAACGCACUUUGUCUCUAACAUUCUCUGAGGUGUAUGGUGGAGUGACCAUGAACAACACGCUCUGCCUGGCUGUGUUCCUGGCUCUCGUCUACAUCAGGGGCUUAACUUGGGACUUCUCAUCGGAGGUGCUCGUCAUCUUCCUCGUGUGCAUCAUCAUGGGCCUCUUCACCAGCUUCGGGACCAAGUUCCCGCUGUGGACGUGCUUCGUCGCAUUCCUUCUGUACCCACUGUCGCUGAUCUUGGUUUACAUCCUCGACUACAAGUUUGGCUGGUCGUAG